Molecule: small nuclear RNA, 300 nt
Filed under: Callithrix jacchus (white-tufted-ear marmoset)
Lineage: Eukaryota; Metazoa; Chordata; Mammalia; Primates; Cebidae
Description: 7SK RNA
Rfam family: 7SK RNA
About the family: 7SK was discovered as an abundant small nuclear RNA in the mid-70s but a possible function has only recently been suggested. Two independent studies have found that 7SK RNA binds the CDK9/cyclin T complex (known as elongation factor P-TEFb).
Source: Rfam by way of RNAcentral
GGAUGUGAGGGUGAUCUGGUUGUGACAGCUGCCACCCCACUGAUUGCCAGGGUUGAUUCAGCUGAUCUGGCUGGCUAGGAGGGUGUCCUCUUCCUCCCUAACUACUCCACGUGCACCCUCUUGAGGCUGUGUGUUUGGUCAAAGAGGACAACCAUCCCCAAGAGAGAAGGACUGGUCUUCCAUCAAGGGUACGCGCCUCCCUGCUAGAACCUCCAAACAAACUCUCAAGGUGCAAAAUGCAUUUCAGCUCAAAUAGUCAAUGCAUUCUUUCAACAAUGGUGAAUCAUUUUCCUAGUUUGA